AGCAACUCUACCUCCAGAAUUUCUUCCAGUACUGGCUGAUCCAUUUCAAAUCCUUCUUUGUUUUUCCCUUUGUUCUUCUUUUCUUCAAGUAAAGGAAACAAAGGAAUAACUGGAUCUUCCAUAGGGCUAGCUUCUCUCAUCGUCACUUUAGCAAGAUCAUUUUCUAGGGUAGAAUAUUCCAGAUCCAGCCUUCUUUGCAGAUGUCCUGUUAAGGAACAGAGUCUGCUUACUUCUUCUCUAGUUUGUAGAGAAUUUCCCUCCAUGCUUUUUAUGACACCAUCAUGAUGGCCUGGAGGUCUUCAUUUGUGACCUUCCUUCCUGAUUUUUUAGAAGGAAUCGGGCUUUCCGUCAAGACAGGUCAUUAUAAGUCUUCAGGGAGAUUUGCCAUGCUAGAUCUUGGUGUAUACCGGCGUGGUUUUUGUUUUGAUUCCCACCUGAAGGUUUGUUCCUUCCUUUUUCUUCUUGGCAUAUGAUGAGUCAAUUUCAUAUUAUAUAUUUAACCCUAUUCCUAGUAUAUUUUGGUUAUUAUUUUGGAAGAAUUUUGAUACUUUGAGUUGUAUUUUCAAUAUAGGACUUUCUACUUCCUUUUGAGCAAAACAUAAUCAAAUGGACGAAUUUUGGAGUAAUUCUAGUUGGAAGAGGUUCGUGAGUCAGUUAGCUUGAUCGUAUCAAAAUGUCAGAUUUUUUUACCAAGCAAUGGUUUUCUAGCAAUAAAAUAAAGGAGUAGUGCAUGGUGUUGGAAUAAUAAUGUUUAGGGCUUGAAUUGCAUUUUUGGAGCCCAACAUGACCUCAGAUGGUUUCGUGGCCUUCUGGAGAUCUGUUCAGAACGUCCCAAUCUUCAAAAUAAGCUAUUAUGGGCCAGAUUUGGAGGAUAUCUGAGGCUAAAACGUGGCUGGACAAGUACUUGACAGAUUAUCCUAACUUAAUUAGGACUUUAUUUUCUAAGAUAUUUUAUUAUUAUUCUUAGUUUCCUAGUUGGAAUAAAGGACCUGAUUUUUAGGGAUUGUGCGAUGGCAUAGUAGGUUAUAUUGCUUUGCCAUUCUAGUUUUUUGCUAUGCUUUAUUUUAUGCAACUUUGGAGACAAAGAGAAUUGCUAGGGUUCUUGGAGAUUUUAUACUUUUAGGUGUUUUCAAUCAUUUUCUUAAUAAUAUUUUCUAUGAUUUUAAUUAUGAAUAUGCGUAACUAAUUCCUUUUGCUAGGGCUAAGCCUUGAGCCUUAGCAUGAAUAUGUGAUUUUUAUUUAAUUGCUUAUGAUUGAUUGCAUGCUUGCUUUGAAUUAUUAAUCACUGUGAUUAAAACUAUCUAAUUAUCUUAAUGCUUGAUCACCAUUAGGAUAUUUAGAAAAGUAAUUUGAUGCAAUUUUGGUCGGAAGGUUCCUUGAAAUUGGCGUUGGCUUCUUGUGAUUAAUAAUUGUAAUUUCACUUAAGAUGAACACCACGUCGUAAGGGUUGCAUGGUUUUUUAAAGGGUUUUCAUAAAGCAUAAUGAGUCUCUCAUGUUCAGAUUUGAUCCGAACUUCCGAACAGGUUGUAUGUUAGAUAUACGUUUUAUGUUGGAGGUUCCAAGUAGAAUAUAAAUUAGGAAAACCUAACCUUCAAUGUGGCAUGCGCAGAUCAUAAAUAAUUGGUAAAAGUUCAUAAGAUUGCUAGGUGAUAGUGGACCCCUAGUGCUUUCUUAAUUUGAUUUCUCCAAAACUUUUCCUUUUUCUUCAUCUUUAAAAUUGCAGAUUAGUUUAUUUUUAUUAGUUAAAUUCGUUUUUAUUAAAUUAGGUCAUAAAAAUCAAUCAUCUCAAAUUUCUAUUUUACAAUAAUCAAUUGGAAUUUGGUUUGCUUCGAAUUAGUUAAUAAUCCAUGUGGGGAACGAACUUGCAAGAUCCGUUUAUACCACAAUAACCUUGUCAUUCUUGCAAGUAAUAUAUGAGUUUUUAU
This 1926-nucleotide long non-coding RNA is filed under the name Malus domestica (apple). RNAcentral's name for it is "long non-coding RNA (MDOM_LNC008158)". The record is from RNAcentral. Lineage: Eukaryota; Viridiplantae; Streptophyta; Magnoliopsida; Rosales; Rosaceae.